Molecule: ribosomal RNA, 468 nt
Filed under: uncultured bacterium
Lineage: Bacteria
Description: partial 16S ribosomal RNA
Rfam family: Bacterial small subunit ribosomal RNA
Source: RNAcentral
GACGAACGCUGGCGGCGUGCUUAACACAUGCAAGUCGAACGGAAAGGCCCUGCUUUUGUGGGGUGCUCGAGUGGCGAACGGGUGAGUAACACGUGAGUAACCUGCCCUUGACUUUGGGAUAACUUCAGGAAACUGGGGCUAAUACCGGAUAGGAGCUCCUGCUGCAUGGUGGGGGUUGGAAAGUUUCGGCGGUUGGGGAUGGACUCGCGGCUUAUCAGCUUGUUGGUAGGGUAGUGGCUUACCAAGGCUUUGACGGGUAGCCGGCCUGAGAGGGUGACCGGCCACAUUGGGACUGAGAUACGGCCCAGACUCCUACGGGAGGCAGCAGUGGGGAAUAUUGCACAAUGGGCGGAAGCCUGAUGCAGCAACGCCGCGUGCGGGAUGACGGCCUUCGGGUUGUAAACCGCUUUCGCCUGUGACGAAGCGUGAGAGACGGUAAUGGGUAAAGAAGCACCGGCUAACUACGUG